Molecule: transfer RNA, 62 nt
Filed under: Geomydoecus aurei
Lineage: Eukaryota; Metazoa; Arthropoda; Insecta; Psocodea; Trichodectidae
Description: tRNA-Glu
Source: RNAcentral
GGUUAAAUAGUUUAAAAAAAACUCCUCCUUUUCGUGGGGGUAAUAGGCUUGCCUUUUAACUU